GUGGGGAAUCUUGCGCAAUGGGCGAAAGCCUGACGCAGCCAUGCCGCGUGCAGGAAGAAGGCCUUCGGGUUGUAAACUGCUUUUGUACGGAACGAAAAGGCUCUGGCUAAUACCUGGAGCUCAUGACGGUACCGUAAGAAUAAGCACCGGCUAACUACGUGCCAGCAGCCGCGGUAAUACGUAGGGUGCGAGCGUUAAUCGGAAUUACUGGGCGUAAAGCGUGCGCAGGCGGUGCUGUAAGACAGGCGUGCAAUCCCCGGGCUCAACCUGGGAAUUGCGCUUGUGACUGCAGCGCUGGAGUGCGGCAGAGGGGGAUGGAAUUCCGCGUGUAGCAGUGAAAUGCGUAGAUAUGCGGAGGAACACCGAUGGCGAAGGCAAUCCCCUGGGCCUGCACUGACGCUCAUGCACGAAAGCGUGGGGAGCAAACAGGAUUAGAUACCCGAGUAGUCC
This 450-nucleotide ribosomal RNA is filed under the name uncultured bacterium. RNAcentral describes it as "partial 16S ribosomal RNA". It matches the Rfam family "Bacterial small subunit ribosomal RNA", at positions 354 to 796 of the family's 1533-position model. The record is from RNAcentral.